Molecule: non-coding RNA, 165 nt
Filed under: chicken gut metagenome
Description: Lysine riboswitch
Rfam family: Lysine riboswitch aptamer
About the family: Riboswitches are metabolite binding domains within certain messenger RNAs that serve as precision sensors for their corresponding targets.
Source: RNAcentral
AGAUAGAGGUUGCGCUAUCCAGGAUUACCUUUCCAGAUAUGGCAGGCAUAGGGGAAGGAGAGGGAAAGGGGCUGGCGCCGAAAGGAACCGCAUCCUGCGGGUGGUUUCUUGGGCAUGCCGUGAAGAACGGUAUGACUGUCAUCAGUUUCUGAUGGGGCGCUAUCC